Molecule: ribosomal RNA, 524 nt
Filed under: uncultured bacterium
Lineage: Bacteria
Description: partial 16S ribosomal RNA
Rfam family: Bacterial small subunit ribosomal RNA
Source: RNAcentral
GACGAACGCUGGCGGCGUGCCUAAUACAUGCAAGUCGAGCGCAGGAAAUCGACGGAACCCUUCGGGGGGAAGUCGACGGAAUGAGCGGCGGACGGGUGAGUAACACGUAAAAAACCUGCCCUCAGGUCUGGGAUAACCACGAGAAAUCGGGGCUAAUACCGGAUGGGUCAUCGGACCGCAUGGUCCGAGGAUGAAAGGCGCUUCGGCGUCGCCUGGGGAUGGCUUUGCGGUGCAUUAGCUAGUUGGUGGGGUAAUGGCCCACCAAGGCGACGAUGCAUAGCCGACCUGAGAGGGUGAUCGGCCACACUGGGACUGAGACACGGCCCAGACUCCUACGGGAGGCAGCAGUAGGGAAUCUUCCACAAUGGACGAAAGUCUGAUGGAGCAACGCCGCGUGAACGAUGAAGGCCUUCGGGUCGUAAAGUCCUGUUGUAAGGGAAGAACAAGUGCCGCAGGCAAUGGCGGCACCUUGACGGUACCUUGCGAGAAAGCCACGGCUAACUACGUGCCAGCCGCCGCGGUAA